UACGUAGGGGGCAAGCGUUGUCCGGAUUUAUUGGGCGUAAAGAGCGUGUAGGCGGUCUGGUAGGUCCGUUGUGAAAACUCGAGGCUCAACCUCGAGACGCCGAUGGAAACCCUCAGACUAGAGUCCGGAAGAGGAGAGUGGAAUUCCUGGUGUAGCGGUGAAAUGCGCAGAUAUCAGGAGGAACACCGGUGGCGAAGGCGGGUCUCUGGGCCGAUAUCGACGCUGAGGAGCGAAAGCGUGGGGAGCGAACAGG
RNAcentral lists this ribosomal RNA (253 nucleotides) under uncultured bacterium. RNAcentral's name for it is "partial 16S ribosomal RNA". It matches the Rfam family "Bacterial small subunit ribosomal RNA", at positions 524 to 776 of the family's 1533-position model. The record is from RNAcentral.